AACAAAAAAAUGGAUAACAAAGGGUUUUGAACUCGGCAGUCAUGUUAUGUGAUUUUUCUUUCUCUUUUUCUCGUGCAUCACGUAUACUCUGGGGGUUAAUUUCACUCUUUUGACUCUUUUUCUACUCAAAUUUUUCGAGCAUUUUAUAGGUGUUAGAAUCUUAAGUCUCGGCAAGUGCAUUUCUUCUCUUUUUUUUUUCUUUUUUUUUAUUUUUUUUAUUUUUUUUCUUUUAAGGAACAUACAUAAUAUUUUCUUUUUGUAUGAUCUCUUAUUAUGC
RNAcentral lists this long non-coding RNA (277 nucleotides) under Lathyrus oleraceus (garden pea). RNAcentral describes it as "Pisum sativum (pea) long non-coding RNA (PSAT_LNC039643)". The record is from RNAcentral. Lineage: Eukaryota; Viridiplantae; Streptophyta; Magnoliopsida; Fabales; Fabaceae.